GGGUUGUGAGGUUAAGCGACUAAGCGUACACGGUGGAUGCCCUGGCAGUCAGAGGCGAUGAAGGACGUGCUAAUCUGCGAUAAGCGUCGGUAAGGUGAUAUGAACCGUUAUAACCGGCGAUUUCCGAAUGGGGAAACCCAGUGUGUUUCGACACACUAUCAUUAACUGAAUCCAUAGGUUAAUGAGGCGAACCGGGGGAACUGAAACAUCUAAGUACCCCGAGGAAAAGAAAUCAACCGAGAUUCCCCCAGUAGCGGCGAGCGAACGGGGAGCAGCCCAGAGCCUGAAUCAGUGUGUGUGUUAGUGGAAGCGUCUGGAAAGGCGCGCGAUACAGGGUGACAGCCCCGUACACAAAAAUGCACAUGCUGUGAGCUCGAUGAGUAGGGCGGGACACGUGGUAUCCUGUCUGAAUAUGGGGGGACCAUCCUCCAAGGCUAAAUACUCCUGACUGACCGAUAGUGAACCAGUACCGUGAGGGAAAGGCGAAAAGAACCCCGGCGAGGGGAGUGAAAAAGAACCUGAAACCGUGUACGUACAAGCAGUGGGAGCCUCUUUUAUGGGGUGACUGCGUACCUUUUGUAUAAUGGGUCAGCGACUUAUAUUCUGUAGCAAGGUUAACCGAAUAGGGGAGCCGAAGGGAAACCGAGUCUUAACUGGGCGUUAAGUUGCAGGGUAUAGACCCGAAACCCGGUGAUCUAGCCAUGGGCAGGUUGAAGGUUGGGUAACACUAACUGGAGGACCGAACCGACUAAUGUUGAAAAAUUAGCGGAUGACUUGUGGCUGGGGGUGAAAGGCCAAUCAAACCGGGAGAUAGCUGGUUCUCCCCGAAAGCUAUUUAGGUAGCGCCUCGUGAAUUCAUCUCCGGGGGUAGAGCACUGUUUCGGCAAGGGGGUCAUCCCGACUUACCAACCCGAUGCAAACUGCGAAUACCGGAGAAUGUUAUCACGGGAGACACACGGCGGGUGCUAACGUCCGUCGUGAAGAGGGAAACAACCCAGACCGCCAGCUAAGGUCCCAAAGUCAUGGUUAAGUGGGAAACGAUGUGGGAAGGCCCAGACAGCCAGGAUGUUGGCUUAGAAGCAGCCAUCAUUUAAAGAAAGCGUAAUAGCUCACUGGUCGAGUCGGCCUGCGCGGAAGAUGUAACGGGGCUAAACCAUGCACCGAAGCUGCGGCAGCGACGCUUAUGCGUUGUUGGGUAGGGGAGCGUUCUGUAAGCCUGCGAAGGUGUGCUGUGAGGCAUGCUGGAGGUAUCAGAAGUGCGAAUGCUGACAUAAGUAACGAUAAAGCGGGUGAAAAGCCCGCUCGCCGGAAGACCAAGGGUUCCUGUCCAACGUUAAUCGGGGCAGGGUGAGUCGACCCCUAAGGCGAGGCCGAAAGGCGUAGUCGAUGGGAAACAGGUUAAUAUUCCUGUACUUGGUGUUACUGCGAAGGGGGGACGGAGAAGGCUAUGUUGGCCGGGCGACGGUUGUCCCGGUUUAAGCGUGUAGGCUGGUUUUCCAGGCAAAUCCGGAAAAUCAAGGCUGAGGCGUGAUGACGAGGCACUACGGUGCUGAAGCAACAAAUGCCCUGCUUCCAGGAAAAGCCUCUAAGCAUCAGGUAACAUCAAAUCGUACCCCAAACCGACACAGGUGGUCAGGUAGAGAAUACCAAGGCGCUUGAGAGAACUCGGGUGAAGGAACUAGGCAAAAUGGUGCCGUAACUUCGGGAGAAGGCACGCUGAUAUGUAGGUGAAGUCCCUCGCGGAUGGAGCUGAAAUCAGUCGAAGAUACCAGCUGGCUGCAACUGUUUAUUAAAAACACAGCACUGUGCAAACACGAAAGUGGACGUAUACGGUGUGACGCCUGCCCGGUGCCGGAAGGUUAAUUGAUGGGGUUAGCGCAAGCGAAGCUCUUGAUCGAAGCCCCGGUAAACGGCGGCCGUAACUAUAACGGUCCUAAGGUAGCGAAAUUCCUUGUCGGGUAAGUUCCGACCUGCACGAAUGGCGUAAUGAUGGCCAGGCUGUCUCCACCCGAGACUCAGUGAAAUUGAACUCGCUGUGAAGAUGCAGUGUACCCGCGGCAAGACGGAAAGACCCCGUGAACCUUUACUAUAGCUUGACACUGAACAUUGAGCCUUGAUGUGUAGGAUAGGUGGGAGGCUUUGAAGUGUGGACGCCAGUCUGCAUGGAGCCGACCUUGAAAUACCACCCUUUAAUGUUUGAUGUUCUAACGUGGACCCGUGAUCCGGGUUGCGGACAGUGUCUGGUGGGUAGUUUGACUGGGGCGGUCUCCUCCUAAAGAGUAACGGAGGAGCACGAAGGUUGGCUAAUCCUGGUCGGACAUCAGGAGGUUAGUGCAAUGGCAUAAGCCAGCUUGACUGCGAGCGUGACGGCGCGAGCAGGUGCGAAAGCAGGUCAUAGUGAUCCGGUGGUUCUGAAUGGAAGGGCCAUCGCUCAACGGAUAAAAGGUACUCCGGGGAUAACAGGCUGAUACCGCCCAAGAGUUCAUAUCGACGGCGGUGUUUGGCACCUCGAUGUCGGCUCAUCACAUCCUGGGGCUGAAGUAGGUCCCAAGGGUAUGGCUGUUCGCCAUUUAAAGUGGUACGCGAGCUGGGUUUAGAACGUCGUGAGACAGUUCGGUCCCUAUCUGCCGUGGGCGCUGGAGAACUGAGGGGGGCUGCUCCUAGUACGAGAGGACCGGAGUGGACGCAUCACUGGUGUUCGGGUUGUCAUGCCAAUGGCACUGCCCGGUAGCUAAAUGCGGAAGAGAUAAGUGCUGAAAGCAUCUAAGCACGAAACUUGCCCCGAGAUGAGUUCUCCCUGACCCUUUAAGGGUCCUGAAGGAACGUUGAAGACGACGACGUUGAUAGGCCGGU
RNAcentral lists this ribosomal RNA (2853 nucleotides) under Escherichia coli. RNAcentral's name for it is "bacterial LSU rRNA". It matches the Rfam family "Bacterial large subunit ribosomal RNA". The record is from RNAcentral. Lineage: Bacteria; Pseudomonadati; Pseudomonadota; Gammaproteobacteria; Enterobacterales; Enterobacteriaceae.